Long non-coding RNA from Manis pentadactyla (Chinese pangolin), 809 nucleotides. RefSeq lists it as uncharacterized. Lineage: Eukaryota; Metazoa; Chordata; Mammalia; Pholidota; Manidae. The record is from RefSeq and is a predicted model, not a curated record. The transcript has 3 exons.
GCAUCUCCAUCUGCUCUGACUCCCCAAGGACAAUUCUGUGCUCCAUCUGUGAGCAGGGUGAGUGGGAAGCGGAGCCUGAGGGGGCACUGAACAGGAUAAGGGAGGAAUAGGCAGCUGGGAGAGGAAGAGCAGAAAAUGCCUGCUUCUUCAGGCCGCCCUGGACUCAGUGAGGCAGGAGGCGUUCCUAAUUCUGUAACUCCCUUCUAACUUCUUCAAUUUCAUGGAACCUGAUGCUCACCGCCACAAGAUGGGAGCAUCCUCUUCAAGGUUAAAGCCAGACAUGCCUCUGGCAUACAUUCUGAGGAACUGGGAGCAAUUUGAUCCCCAAACUCUGAAAAGGAAGUGCCUCAUCUUCUUCUGCACACAAGCCUGGCCUCAAUACAAACUCUCUGAUGGAGAGACUUGGCCCUCUGAGGGAAAUACACUAUAUAAUAAAGUUAUGCAGCUAGAUUAACUUUGCCACAAAGAAGGAAAAUGGUCAUGUAAAGGAAUGCAGGAAACACCCUAGAGCGAGAGCCACCCAGUUUCCAUACUCUAAGGGGGAUGAAACUUGUGACAAGACGUUAAGGAAUGCUUGUGCAAAGGUCAGGCAAGCGGUGGGUCCCCGUUUCAACUUUAUUGGUUAAAGUAUGGGAUGUGUUUUAAAUUCAUUGGUUGUGGUAAUGUGUGGGCUUUGGUGCAACGGCUGUGGAAAUCCUAUAUAAUCUAUACCUAAAGUUGCUUGGGGGUCGACAGCUCGGACUCGACCUGCGUGUCAGGGGAGGUGCUGUCGGCCCCAGCUAGCUGGCUGAAUAAAGACUUUGCUUGGA